Non-coding RNA from Cyanistes caeruleus (blue tit), 234 nucleotides. NCBI's taxonomy places the organism in Eukaryota, Metazoa, Chordata, Aves, Passeriformes, Paridae. The record is from RefSeq and is a predicted model, not a curated record.
GUCCCCACACACCUGGGCCAGGUGAGGCUGUGGGAGGAGCUGGAGGUGACACCUGAGCAGGCGCAGCCGCGGUGCCGGGAGGGCCCCGAACACCCGGGGACAAACAGCCGGGAACAGGCGGAGCUGGUGUGUCCAGGCCUCACCUGUCGGGAAUUCCGCUGCUCCAUCCCCCCCCUGAGCCCCCCCAGAACCUGGGGGUUCACCCUGGGGGGGAAACUGAGGCUGGAGUGGAUG